RNAcentral lists this ribosomal RNA (292 nucleotides) under uncultured bacterium. Its description in RNAcentral is "partial 16S ribosomal RNA". It matches the Rfam family "Bacterial small subunit ribosomal RNA", at positions 505 to 796 of the family's 1533-position model. The record is from RNAcentral.
GUGCCAGCCGCCGCGGUAAUACGUAGGUGGCAAGCGUUGUCCGGAUUUAUUGGGCGUAAAGAGCGCGCAGGCGGUUUGUUAAGUUCGAGGUGAAAUCUCCCGGCUCAACUGGGAGGGGUCUUCGGAUACUGGCAGGCUUGAGGAGAGCAGAGGUGAGUGGAAUUCUCGGUGUAGUGGUGAAAUGCGUAGAUAUCGAGAGGAACACCAGCGGCGAAGGCGGCUCACUGGGCUCCACCUGACGCUGAGGCGCGAAAGCGUGGGGAGCGAACCGGAUUAGAUACCCGGGUAGUCC